CUAAACGACUCUCGGCAACGGAUAUCUCGGCUCUCGCAUCGAUGAAGAACGUAGCGAAAUGCGAUACUUGGUGUGAAUUGCAGAAUCCCGUGAACCAUCGAAUCUUUGAACGCAAGUUGCGCCCGACGCCUUCGGGCUGAGGGCACGCCUGCCUGGGCGUC
This 161-nucleotide ribosomal RNA is filed under the name Plantago coronopus. RNAcentral's name for it is "5.8S ribosomal RNA". It matches the Rfam family "5.8S ribosomal RNA". Rfam says of the family: 5.8S ribosomal RNA (5.8S rRNA) is a component of the large subunit of the eukaryotic ribosome. The record is from RNAcentral. Lineage: Eukaryota; Viridiplantae; Streptophyta; Magnoliopsida; Lamiales; Plantaginaceae. RNAcentral also lists the same sequence under 1 other name.